CAGCAGCCGCGGUAAUGCGAAGGGGGCUAGCGUUGUUCGGAUUUACUGGGCGUAAAGGGCGCGUAGGCGGACUGAUAAGUCAGGGGUGAAAUCCCAAGGCUCAACCUUGGAACUGCCUUUGAUACUAGAUAGCUUGAAUCUUGGAGAGGCGAGUGGAAUUCCGAGUGUAGAGGUGAAAUUCGUAGAUAUUCGGAAGAACACCAGCGGCGAAGGCGACUCGCUGGACAAGUAUUGACGCUGAGGUGCGAAAGCGUGGGGAGCAAACAGGAUUAGAUACCCCCGUAGUCCCUGUCUCUUAUAC
Molecule: ribosomal RNA, 301 nt
Filed under: uncultured bacterium
Lineage: Bacteria
Description: partial 16S ribosomal RNA
Rfam family: Bacterial small subunit ribosomal RNA
Source: RNAcentral